This is a non-coding RNA of Pelobates cultripes (western spadefoot toad), 157 nucleotides long. The record is from the annotation of a GenBank genome assembly. NCBI's taxonomy places the organism in Eukaryota, Metazoa, Chordata, Amphibia, Anura, Pelobatidae.
GCCGACACAUUCCAGCCAAUCAGCAGCAGACCCUCCCUCCCAGACCCUCCCAUCUCCUGGACAGCAUCCAUUGUGAAGCUGCAUUCUUAGUGAGCUGUCCAGGAGGUGGGAGGGUCUGGGAGGGAGGGUCUGCUGCUGAUUGGCUGGAAUGUGUCUG